AAACACCUAGAUCUAACGACCACAAUUCCUCCCCACCAUAAUAUAAAAACCAAAUAUUUAUCUAACCCUAAACCUAAACACCCCUAACCAAAUGGCACCCCCCCAACUCCCACGCCUUCUGCCCGUCCAAAACUCGCCGGAAAACUCACUGAUUCCGGCGAGUUAACUCAUGGCCCCCCUUUCCCUUCUCUCUUUCUUCCACGUGGCUUGACAAAUAACUGAUUUUGGUUCGAAUCCGCAUUUUGUUUUGUUCUCUCCCACGUGAAUAUAUUUCAACGGUAGAUGAUGGACGAAGGGUAGGAUAUGAUUAAUGAAAAUUAAUCAUACCCCUCCAUUUGCCUAGAUUUUUACUAAAAUGAAGGAGAUUUUCGGAAUUUUGGUGAGAUUUUCGGAUUUUUGAAGUGUUUUUGCGAUUUCUUGCAAAGGAAGGAGAGAAGCUUCGAGAGAGGACUAUAUAUUUGGGUCUGGACAGAGAUGAAGGGGAGACACAAAAAUUUGGAGGAAAGAGGUUAGGAAAGAAAUUAGUGUUCUAAUAGGGAGUUUUUUUUUCUAUUCUCAUUUUUGGUCCAUUUUCGGUUGAGUUCAAAUUCUAGAAAACAAAAUACAAAAAAAUAGAUUGAGUUUGAUUUUUGUUCAAGAAUAGUUCCAUUUUCGAAAAUCAGAAAACUAACACAAAAAUAUAUAUACAUCUCUUUACUGCUUUUCUAUCUUGGAAUUUCAAUUUUGAGUUUUGGUCUGCAAACAUGGAGAUUGCUUGAGGUGCUCGAGCUCGAUCAAAUUGUUGCCCGUUUGUUAAUUCUGGAUGCGGUUCCUUAUUCGAAGUCAGCCCUGUUUUCUCACUCGGAUUCCAGACUCGAAGUUUUUAGCUGAGUUUCUUGUUUUCUAUUAUUAAGAAGAGUUUUGCAAUUUCAGGUUCAUCUCUUUCCUUCUUAUUCUUAUUAAUGGUGAUCGAAAUAUGACAUGAGCCGUAGGGAAUUUGCUUUGUAAUGAUAGAUAUUUGAUCAUAUUUGGUAGAGGUUGUGUUUGGAGUUAGUUUCUAGUUGUGAUUUGUGCUCGAGAAUGCUAUGUGUCAAUCUGUUCUUGUCAUUCUACAUGUUGCAUAUGAUUUGGUUUCACUGUUUUGAGGAGCUUUCUGAAUCUCUAUGCCUAGUUUAUAUGUGUGAUUUGAGUUAGCUAAUCAUAAGGUUAUUAAGCGAAUCAUGAAUCAGUGAUGCGAUUCAUUUGCGGUCUGAAUCAGCGUCGUGUCCGUUUAGUUGGUAAUUUAGUUUGAGAAGAAAUGUAUAUUCAAGUCGUGUUGUCGAGAUUUGCUCAUCACUCCUUAGCUAUUUGGGUUCAUGUUCCUGGAGUGUGUUGAAACCCGAUGUUUUUAAGCCAUCCUAUCGCCCUCUGUUUGGAUAUUUGCAUUAACAUUGCCUUCAAUUUCACCCUCAAUUUGAUUUCCAGCCUCAAAAGCCAUACAACUGAUGCAUAUUCAAUCAUUCUUGUCGGCUUAAUUGAGUUGGAGAAUUAAGUGAGUCUUGGGAUUGCUUUCCAAAUGUACUCUGUUUGUUGUUGCCUUUGUUGGUCGCUUCUAAUGCUCAAGAAACAUACUAUGAAUCCCUGCCAAGAUUAAUUGAGUUUCCUGGUGAGGUAUUUGUUAUUAUCCUCUGUUGAAGUAUGCGCAAAUUUGGUCUCCCUUUGAUCAUAUGUUGGGUGAGACAAACAAAAUUUUAAUUAGUUGUAAUUCCAAUUGUCUUCUCGUGAUUGUUAGUUGUUGAAGCAUCUCAUGGUUUGGGGUUGAAAUUGGCUUGAUCAGUUUUUGUCUCAACAUAUAAAUUAGUAUGAGCAUCGAGUGAUUUGAAGAUGAUCUGUAAUGCUGAAAUUUUCCCAUGCCUUUGUCGUCAAUUAAACUAUCAUUCCCUGAGGCAAAUUUGACUAGUUUCGUGUUCAUAUAAGUUUGGAUCAUGGUGCCUUGCUUCAGAAUUUUAGGAAAGGUUACUGUUUUUGUGAUAAUAUUCUUCUUCAUCAACUUAGAAACUAAAAAGUGAUUGAAUAAGCAGUUUAAGUGAUUGUUUUGUCUAGUGUUAUUGAGUUUGAUUAGAAUAUGUCAGCAAGUCAUGGUUUUCAACUUAAUGCUUUUGGGAGAAUUUUGAUUUAUGAGAAAGUCUAAAUAUUUCCUCAUAGAGUGACAUCUCUUGAUUAGCUUGGUUUGGGUGUUAAUUGAUUAGAGUAGUGUUAGUCUGUUAAUAGAGCAUAUUAUUAUCUUGGUAAAUUAUUUUAGCUUUGAUUGAAUUUGAGUCUUGUUGGUCUUUUAGUCUUAUUGGUCCCAGAUGCUCUUGACAAAAUAAUUAGAAACGUGUCCUUUUAGUUGCCUUGAUCUUUGUUUAAGUCUAACACUAUUUUGUUCACUAUUUUUUUCGUAAGAAUUGAUUGUUUGGGCUUAAUACUUAGUUGAAAUUGUUUUGGUGGUAUUAGUGCUUAACUGUCAGUUUAUGCCUUUAGUUUCUUCAUGAGUUGAUGCUUGACAUGAAGUCACGUACUAAUAGAAGAAGGUUAAGAAACGAAUUGCAUGUUGGACCGUGGAGAUGAGAAAAAGACAACGAAAUUUUUUCUUUUAUUCUAUUUACAUAUUUUAAUUCUUUUUUAUUUUAUUUUUAUUACAAUGCCUGCUAGGAGUAUGCUUAGGCCGACCACACUUGGGUAGGCAAGUCUUAGGAUUUUUAUUAGUGUUGAGCCGAGAGGUCGUUCCCUUAUUUAAAUUUAUCCGGGGAAUGCCCCGAAGGAAUUGUACAUAUUUAUUCUAGGAAAUGCCCCGUAGUAUUCUGUAAUUGGAGGCCGUGGCGAACAUCGUAGAAGAAGUAGCGUAGGAUAAUUUAGAACUUUAAUUUGUCUUCUUUUAAUUUUCUUUCAUUUAGGUAGGGACGACCUCGAGCCUCUUGUGUGUUUAUUACCUCAAUUGAUUAUUUUAAAAGCCAACUUGAUUGAGUUUGCAACCGUACCAGUUACGGGACUUGGGGAUUGCCUAACACCUUCUCCCCGUUAAAUGAACCCCCUUACCCGAAUAUCUGGUGCAGACUUAGUUUUGGAGUCUCAAGUGUUUUGAAAAGAAAAAAAAUUAUUUUUAGAGAAACGGUGACCUGGCACACCGAAAUCAAAGUCAGGUGGCGACUCUGAGUUAACCCUUCUGAACACUAUCUUUUGUCACUUUUAAUUAAAAACCCUUUUGAACUUCAAAAAUCUUUUAUUAAUUUAAGAGGGUUAGUGAGGUUUGUAAAGAAAAGGAUGCGACACUAAGCGCCCGAUUGUGCGUCAUAAACGCACCUCACGCUCAACGCUCAGGGCUCGCCUAAUAGUUCCUAUGAAAUCAUGUAUUGAAUUCACUAACUUGCAUUGUUGACUCUCAAAAUUCUUUAACAAAUGAAUGAUUAAAAUUCUUUUCGUCUAAAGGAAUAUGAAAAUUGUGAAUAACUCAAAUAAAGAACCAUGGUAUUGCAUAUUUACUAACUGAGAACAUCGUGAAGGUGAAUAAUAUUCUUUGAGCAUUUUUUCUGAAAAUAGAUAACCAAAAUUUAUAUCCUUAGUUGCUAUAUCUUCGUGUCUUAAUUUUGUGUCUCUCAAAAUUAUUAUACAUUAAUUUCUUUGCCAUUUAAAAGUAAUUUUGCAUUUACUCAUGAAGUAGUAAUAUUUUAAAUUACAGUAUUGAUAAAAUUAUAGUGUAUUUACUUUUACAAGGUAAUUAUGUUGUUUGAUAAUAUUUAUUAAGAAAUUAUGAUUUUUAAUUAUUUGAAAGUUAAGACGUUAUAGUUGAUUUAUAUUUCAUUGUAACUUUAACAGUAUUACAUUAUUUAUACCUGUAAAAUAUGCAAGAUAUUUUUAAUUCUUGAACUUUUAGUGUAUUUCUUUUAUAUAUUUUUGUGUUAUAAUGUUAUAUUAAUUUAUAAAUUAAUAAAAUAAACAUCUCUGGAGCUUAAGCCCCAUGUCUCGAGGCUUACAUCUCUUCCCGUCUCAAGUAAAAUGCCUCGCCUAAUACCCGCCUUUUAAAACACUGCAUUCAGAACAAUUACACUAUCGCAAAUAAUUAUAAAAAAAUUCUAUUAGCAUGGUUUAUUAAAUUAGUAACUAUUAGGAGGUAAUCAACAACCAUUAUGUUCUCCUCCUGAUCAAAACUUGACAGUUCUUUAUUACAAUCUGAAUUCCAACAUGGAUAGUUGGCAUACAAGCUGGAUUUAUAACAUUAAAAAUCUUAGAAGCACAAUAUAGGGUACCUUCUCUUUCAAUGAUCUCUAUCUAAAAAUUAAAGACAUCUAUAAUAAUCACGAUUGGAAUCUCGAUAUUUUAUCAAUAGAAAUACCUGAGGAUAUUAAAGAAAAUAUUUAUAAGGUUAAUAUUCGUACUAGGGGUGCGCGAUGCGACACACACAUUUGUUCAAGAAAUACAAAGGGUGUUUUCACUACAAAAUCUUGUUAUGAAUUAAUUGAAUCAACGAAAGACAGUGAUAUAGAUUUCGAUUGGAUUUGGAAAUUAAAUUGUCCAAAAAAAAUUCACUUCUUCUUAUGGCAAUGCCUCCACAAUAGACUUCCAUGUAGAGCAUACCUAGCACAUAUAGGGAUCAAUAUAGACCCCACGUGUCCAAUAUGCAAGACAAAAGAAGAAUCUAUUGAGCACAUUUUCUUUGAUUGCAAAGCAACUAGUGCCUAUUGGAAUAACGUGGGAUGGUCAAAAUAUUGUAAUCUAACACAAACAAAUUGGCUUACUAAAGUAAGAAAUUUUAAUCUCGACUUACAUCAUAGUUGUAUCAACUGGAAUGGUCUUUUCCCUUUCCUUCUAUGGAACAUUUGGAUUAAUAGAAAUAAUAAUAAUCAAAACAAUACCUCAAACCCAAUAAAUAUUGAAUUCACCAUGCAAAGGGCCAUAGAAUACAAGUUGCUAACCGAGAAUCAUCACUAUCCUCUCAAAAAAACAGCAAUCAACAUAAAAUGGUUUAAACCCCAAAAAGGUUGGUAUAAAUUAAAUAUUGAUGCUAGCUACAAAGUAAACCACAAGAGCGGCCUGGGAGGCGUAUUUAGGAACUCCAAUGGGAAUUGGAUAGUAGGAUUGACAAAAUGCACUACAAAUAGCUCAUUAGAAGCAGAACUAAUGGCUCUACAAAAAGGACUACAAAUUGCUCAAGAAUGAAAUUUGUUCCCGCUGGAAGUGGAAUCGGACUCCACUGAGGUAAUACAGUCCAUACACCAAGACAAUAAAAUGUAUAAUAAUAUUAUUAAUACAUGCAGGUUGUUAAUCCACCAAAGAAAAGAAGUGAUCCUCAGGCACGUGUUCCGACAA
Molecule: long non-coding RNA, 5304 nt
Filed under: Nicotiana tabacum (common tobacco)
Lineage: Eukaryota; Viridiplantae; Streptophyta; Magnoliopsida; Solanales; Solanaceae
Description: long non-coding RNA (NTAB_LNC007846)
Source: RNAcentral